RNAcentral lists this long non-coding RNA (30766 nucleotides) under Phoenix dactylifera (date palm). RNAcentral describes it as "long non-coding RNA (PDAC_LNC007080)". The record is from RNAcentral. Lineage: Eukaryota; Viridiplantae; Streptophyta; Magnoliopsida; Arecales; Arecaceae.
AAAAUUUUGAUGCCUUCUGGAGAAAAUCCAUUAAUUGAUAACAGAUGCAAAUACUAUCUUAAAUUCUUAACUAUGAGAAAUGCUAGUAUUGUCUUUCUGCUCUACUUGGCAUAGUUCUGGAACAUAGUGCUGAAUAACAUUUUCCUUUUCACCACCAUACCUGAGCAGUCACUGCAUUUCUUGUUUUGGGUGCUAAAAUGUGCUUUUGCUUGGUUGUUUUGAAAUAUAUUUUACAUGAUAUGCUAUAAGUUAGAGGUGAAGCCAAGGUUCGCCAUCUCAGUACCGAACUCCGUACAGGUGCCGCACCAACAUAGUGUUGGUGUGGUACGGUACAAGAUUUUUUUGGCGUACCUAUAUUUUUUUGAUGUACCCAGUGUUGGUACGCUAUCUGUAUCGGGUACCAAUAUCGAACCAGUACGGUAUGGUAUGCCCUGUACCGUCUGGUUCAGGCCGGUAAGGCGUACCAUGGGUGAAAGUAUUUACAGGCAAGUUUUUUGGUAUUAUAUUCUUGAAUGAUCAAAAUGGACAAUAUAAGUUUGGCUUAUUGGUGUAGCAUCUACAUACAGAACAUAUGUCAUAUAAAUGUAUGUAUGUAUAUAUUCAAAAGAAUGUUUUGUCUAAUUGAAUCCGAAGCUCUUGUAGAUUACUGUAUAGUUACAUGCUAUCUUUUCUCUUUCAAGGUACUCUGUAUUGUUUCAACUUUCAAGCAUUUGAUUUCCUAAAUAAUUGUUGUUUGUUUCACGACUAAAUUUUCUACCAUAACUCUAUAUUAAAGAAUUACUGUUGGUAUAUUUUUCUAUCAAUUGAUAUAUGGUCCGUGUCUGUACCUUUGUCGUGCCUAGUGUUUUCAGGAGUGUUUCAUCUAGUUGAUUCCUGAGUUCCUGUAGAUUACCAUAUAGCUAUAUGCUAUCUUUUCUCUUUCAAACUCUCUCUUUGUAUUGUUUCAAACGUUUGAUGUCCUAUGUAAUGACUAUUUGCUUCUCUCCUACUCUCUCUACCAUAUUUUAUAUUAAAUGAAUUACUGUAGAUAUAUUGUUCUAUAAAUUGAUAAAUAAUUCAUGUAUGUACUUCAUUGUUUCCCAGAGUAGCCUGUUGUUAAUGUAUAUAUUGGGUUACAUGACUAUUUGUAUUCAUAGUUACAUGACGGGAAGUAGCCUGUUGUUAAUGUAUAUAUUGGGUUAUCAUUCUUGAUACUGGGUUUACUGUAUCAUUGCUACCCCUUCGAUUCUUCCCACAUUUCUUAGUUUCAGAGCCUUGUUUUGCACCCAGGCUUGUCAGCUUAGCCUUGGACCCUCAACAUGGGGGAACUGAACAUCAAAAACUUACAAAAUACAUAAGAGGCCUUUGAGAAAUCCUUCAUUGAUAAUUUGUCAGAGAACAAGUUCACAAAUCUAACUAUUUUAUUCCCACUAGUACGAUCUUAUCUACAUAAAGAAGGAAAACAAUCAUAUCUUUUAUUUCCUUCAUGUAUAUUUGAGCUUUCUUAGGAUUCUGUUUGAAACCAAAGUCUUUAAUUUCUUUAUUAGAUCUUUUAUUACAACCAUAAAAUGCUUGUUCGAAACCACGGUUGUCAUCAUCAACUUGCAUGCCAUAAAUUCAGACAUCGGUGUAGCAUAUCCUGUGGAAGGAUGCAUCUCACCUUUUUCAUCCUGCCUUCUGUUCAAUUGUUUAGAUGUCUGUUUUACCAUAUUCUAUAAUCAUCACAUGCAGCUGUGGCCAAAAGAAUCCUGUUGCAUUUCAUUUUGGAAGCUUAUGAUAAGGUUACAUCAUAGUAAAAACCCUUGAACGUAGACUUUUGCCACAAUAGAAAUAUAACUUUACCCUUUUGGAUUGAUCAACUGAAGUAUAUAUACUAUUACUUCUCAUGUAAUUAUUCUCUGAUUCCAGCAGCAAUCCACCUUGGAAUCUUCAUGCCACUGACAAAUGCCUGAUAAGAGCAUUUUUCAAUGUCCUCUCUCUCAAGGGAAAAAGAUCUAUAAUUAAUAAAUUAGAGGAAAGAGGACACUCUAAUUUCAAGGUCAUGAUUUCUAAUAUUGGGUUUAAUAUAUGUUCUUAUUCAUGGGAAUAGAUGGCUGAUGGCAGGAGGUUUUCUCCAAGGAGAUCUGAGAUCUGCUGUCCAUUGGACAGAAAAGGCUAUAUGAUGAAAGGGGAAGGAAGAAUACAAAAUGUUGAUGAAAAAGACAAGAAUCGAAGUAGGGUGGAAAAGAAGAGGAAAGGUUACCCAGAUCAUCUCUUUUUAGAAAGAAUUGCUUCUUCCUAGCUAAAGCCAGCCUUCCUAGUUUAUAAAUUUUAGAGGGCCCAACCAUUGAUCUUGUGGACAGUCCAGAGAAUCGAAUGUAUACUAAUGACACCUUGAUCCCCGCAAGCCUCAGAAAUUGAUGUAAGACUUUGUGUCGAGGUUGGUUGGAUCCUGUAAAUUAGGGGCAAAUUUAGGGGAGACCAGGUGUCUCACGAAUCGCCCCUAAACAUAUUUCUCUUUCACCUAUGCCAAUUUAAAAGCCUUACUUAUAUGAAACCAUCUCCUGGAUCUUGCGUGAUCACCAUAUCAAGCAGCUCUAGUGUCUAUUUUCUAAUGUGGCCCUUCAUAAGCAGCCCAUUCCCUUGUAUUUCUUCUUUUGUUUUGAAAAUUGGAUUGCUUUUUCCUUAUCCUCUUUUAUAGAUGAACAUCCAUCCGAGUUGUGAAAUGCUUGCACUGUAUAUGAGAUCUCCCUAAUUACUUGGCUUUUGUUUUCCCACACACCUCCUCAUCUUUUGCUUCCCCGCCAACAUGGUAGUUUGUUAUUUGACCAUUGGUUUUGUCCUUCUUGUUCCUCCCACUACUCUGAUGUGCAUUUGGUUUUGUUGCUUGCGCUUAUGAGCUUGUCGAUGGUGAGUGCCUUCUUCUCCCAUUAUGUAUUUUCAUAAAAUGACUAGAUAUUGAGACAUGUCCAUAUACACCAAUUUAGGUUUUUUCUUUUGGUUCAAAUAGUUUUUAGUUAGCACUUCAAAAAAGAAUUCAACAGAUAAUUUGGCCUAUAGCAAGCAUAGAUGUUGUAGCAAUGAUUGGAAUACUCACUAGGAUUUGGUAUGGUAUUCCUCUUUUGACCUAACUUAGCCAUAUAUCUAUAUGUAGGCUAUUUCUUUAGCUUAUACAAAACUAGAAAUAUAAUAUUUGAACCAUUGAUCCAUUUAUAAAUGCAGGGUUCUUCUUCAUUCUUAAUGAAGCCAUAUGUUCCGAUUACCUUAUCAAAACGUAUAUUCCAACUCCGUGAAGUUUGCUUUAAUCUAUAAAUAGAUCUUUGAAGCUUGCAUACUUUAGACUCAUCUGCAGAUGUAAAACCUUCAGAUUGUAUCAUAUACACUUCCUCUUCUAAAUCCCCAUUUAGAAAGACGGUUUUAACAUUCAUCUGCCAGAUCUCAUAAUCUAAAUGUGCUGCCAUUACAAGCAUAAUUCGAAUGGAUUUGAGCAUUGCCACAGGAGAAAACGUCUCGUCAUAGUCAAUACCAUAACGUUGACGAUAUCCCUUGGCAACCAGACGGGCUUUAUAGAUCUCUACCUUUCCGUUUGCGCUCCGUUUUCUUUUGAAAAUCCACUUACACCCUAUGGGUUUAAUCUCUUUGGGUGGGUCAACUAAUGUCCAUACAUCAUUGACCUUCAUGGAUUCCAUUUCGGAUUGCAUGGCUCCAAGCCAUUUAUCAAAGUCAUUCCUCUGCAUUGCAUCCAUAUAGGUGAUCGGAUCCUCAUCGUUUUCAUCAAGUUCGACAGGAUCCCUGUCUCGGACCAAGAAACCGUAGUAUCUGUCCGGCUGACGUGGUACUCUACCUGAUCGUCUUAAUGGUGCAUCUAAGAUGGGUUCGAGAUCUGAUCUAAUCAAAUCUGACUCAAUAGGUUCAGUGGAUGGUGUUGGGUCUUCUACAUGUUGAACUUUCCUAAGUUUUAUAUUAGAGCUUCUACUUCUCCAAGAAUACAGCUCUAUUGCUUACGAACAACUUUUGUUCUUCAGCAAGAUAGAAAUAAUAUCCUUUAGACUUUUUAGGGUAACCGAUAAAGAAACAUUUGUCAGACUUGGCUUCAAGUUUGUCUGCUUUCAAACGUUUGACAUAAGCCGGACACCCCCAAAUUCUAAGGUGAGAAAGUACCGGUUUCCGUCCCGUCCACAUCUCAUGUGGUAUUUUAUUCACAGAUUUACUUAAAACCUUAUUAAGUAUAUAACAUGUUGACUCAAGUGCAUAUCCCCAAAAGGAUAUGGGCAGAUCAACAAACCCCAUCAUAGAUCGAACCAUGUCUAACAGUGUUUGAUUUCUCCUUUCUGACACACCAUUAUAUUGCGGUGUACCAGGAGGAGUCCAUUGGGAGAGAAUCUCAUUUUCUUCUAGAUAUGUCAAAAACUCACUGGAGAGAUAUUCUCCUCCUCGGUCUGACCGAAGAGUUUUAAUACUCUUUCCAGUUUGUUUUUUUACUUCAUUACGAUAUAAUUUGAACAUUUCAAAUGAUUCAGAUUUAUGUCUCAUUAAAUAGACAUAACCAUACCUCGAAAGAUCCUCUGUGAACGUAAUGAAAUAUGAAUAUCCACUUUUGGCAUUUGUGCUCAUUGGCCCACAUACAUCAGAAUGUACAAGGGUUAAUAAGUCACUGGCUCGUUCACCUUUUCCGGUAAAAGGUGAUUUGGUCAUUUUUCUAAGAAGACAUGACUCGCAGGUUGUCAAUGAUUCACAAUCAUUAACAUUGAGGAUUCCCUCUUUACUUAACCUGUUCAUCCUGUUCUUGUUAAUAUGACCUAGCCUAUGAUGCCAAAGGUAGACAUCCAUGACAUUAUCUAUUCUAGGGUGCUUACUUGACUUGUACAUUACAUUAACAGGCUGUGACUGUAUAUAAAUGCUAUUACUCAAUUGUCCAUGCAUUACAGUGACACCAUUCAAAUGAUAUCACAAUAAUUUCUUUUUAUUGAAAUCUCAUAACCUUUCAUGGCCAAAAAGCCUACAAAAAUUAUGUUCAAUAAAAAACUUGGACAAAAGUAACAGUCACUUAUGACCAUGGUCUGCCUUACCGGUCCGUACCGGCCGGUACGGGCCGGUACGUACCGGUCCGGCCUGGGACUGGUACCGGAUCAGCGUGGAAUCCGGUACCGGUAGUUUACUGUUGAAAAACCGGUACGGGACCGGUACGGGACCGGUUCGGACCGGUUCGGACCGGUACGGACCGGUACGAGACCGGUUUCGUACCGGUCCGGGCCGCCACCGGUACGCCGACCGGUACCGGUACGGCGGACCUUGCUUAUGACAAUUAUAUGAGAGUUGAAUAUAAGUUUAAGACUUUCUAAAGCUAGAAUUGGAACUGGUCUUCCAUCUCCAACGUUCAGGAAUCUUUCGCUUUCUCCAAAUCUCUUAUUGACCUGAAGUCCCUGCAACGAAUUGCAAAUAUUAAAUAGGCUUCCAGUAUCUAAUACGCAGGUCGAAUUGUCACAAAUUGAAAAAUUACAAGGUGUUAUCAUAUAAGUACCUUGAUCAGCAACUGAUUGCAUCUUUCUCUUUUGCCUGUUUGGGUCAAGGGAGCCAAUGUAUUGAGGACAAUUCCUCUUCCAAUGCCCUUGCUUCUUACAGUAGAAGCACUUUGCCUUACUUUGAUCGGCCUUUACCUUCUUGGUCUGAGUUGGCUUAGCAUGCUGUACCUUUUUCUUUUGAUUCUUAUUUUUCUUCUUUCCUUUCUUAAAGGGACCACGACCUCUGGACGAGCCUCCCACUAAAUUCACCGACCCUUUUAGGAGUUGGUGAUUCUUCUCAAAUGUUUGUAGUAAAUCCAACAAUUGGUGAUAAUUUACUACCGGUUUCGUUAUACGAAAGUUGCUGAGAAAUGGGUGGUACGAACUAGGAAGAGAGUUUAGUAUAGCAUCCUUCCCCAAUUGAUCAUGAAGGGGAAAAUCGAGAGUGCUCAGGCGCUCGAUCAACUCAAUCAUGUACAAUACAUGAUCGGUCAUCGACGCCCCAUCCUUCAUCCGUGCGCUGAAAAUAGCACAACUAGUCUUGUGCCUUUCAACGUCGUCAGGAGUGCCAAAAGAUUCGUUCAACACUUGAAUGAUCUCUUCAGACUGCGCAUUCUCAAACCUACGACUGAACUCGUCGUUCAUUGCAGCAAGCAUAAUGCAGCGGACAGUGAUACAAUCACUGAGCCACUUCUGAUAAGUGUCUCUGACUGUACCCCGUGCAUUGGCAGUGGGCUGCUCAGGUGCUGGAUCUAUUAUCACAUAAAGAAUCCGUUCAUGCUCUAGCACAAUCUUAAGUUUUCUAAGCCAGUUAUUGAAAUUGGGUCCAGUCAACUUGUCAUUAUCCAACAAUGAACGAAGUGACAAACUAGUGGCCAUUUUUGCAUAAAAGAAAAUCGGCUAUCAGUAUAUGAAUUGACAAUACCCUAAAGACUUGGACUUUAGUCUAAAGAUUCUCCCACUAUUUUAUACAAAUUUGUAGCCCCUACCUUAAAUUUGAAGAAUUACACUUAACUUUUUAGUGAGCACUAGAACCCAAUAGAUCGCAUAUGGGCCCGAGUGUGGCUCGGCCAACCCAUAUGCACCUAUUGGUAGGUUCUGAACCAAUUGUUUCACCAAACAAUUUCUAGUGAUAAUUUUGCCCGUCUCUUCGGCAGGCGUGUGGCGCCUCCACCGAAAAUUCUGAUUAGGUCCAACCAUUAAAUGACAGGGUUCCGUGUAAUCUACUAAUAAAUGACCAAGCCCGAGUGUGGCUCGGCCCACCUGAUCACCUAUUGAAGGUACUCGACUCAUAUAUUGAAUGACAAUUUCAAUGGUCAAAUAAUCACCAGGCGUGUGGCGCCUCCAAUGAUUAUCUGGCUAUUGGACCUAUUAUCAUCCAACUUAAUGGAAGGCUAUGACCUAGUUAUCUCCAUAACUAUUUCAUUUUAUGGACCUAAUAAUUUUAGAGGGUUUAAUUUAAUUGAGAAUAGAUGAGAAGAACCGGUUAAUCUAGAUCCUCCCACUGACUUCAUCAAGUCAGAUUAAUAAGAACUAGAUUCAAUCCGGUUAAGGAGGCACCUAAAUCAGUCAUACUGAUUAUCCUUAAAGGCAUGGGUCAACUCGAAUCAUUAAGUGAUCCAAUCAAAAUGUGAUUGACCAUGUCAGCCAGGUAAGUGAGAUCGGUGGAAGGGAUAUGCCAUUAACUCGACAAAGACGAAUCAGUGUAAGUAGCUCCCAAUUAAAAACCACCGGUCAAGCUGCCAAACUUACCUUAGAUACCGACUGGUUAAUCAAUUUCGAUUUGAUUACUCAAAUGACUUGGGCUCUACCUCUGAGCCUCAAUCAAGUUCCAUUUUAGUCUAAUCAAAGACAUGGAAUUUGAUCAACUACUACUAUUGUAUUUGACCUAGAGUUUCCUUGACCUAAUCUAGUUACUACUUAAUUAGAUUUGAUCAAUUAACUCUAAUUAGACCAUGUUUGAUUCUAACCUUAGGUUUAACCCAAUCUUAAGAACUUGAUUCAAGCUAACCCAAACCCCUAAAGGCUUAUGCAAUUGUCAUUUAAUUGAGUUACAAUUCUAGAUCUAGGUUUUCAUAUUACUUAAUUCUUAAUCAAGUGUAAGUUUAUGAAAAUUUAGAUCAUUGCAUAAUCCUUUUAAUUACACCUUAAUUAUAAACUUUCAGUUCUUAAAUUUUUUUUCAGAUCUGAGUUUGAUAAUUAAUCAUGUGUAAUUCACCUUUUAAUUCAUGUUUAAAUCAUUAUGAUUUAUGUUCAUACAUCAUAUAUAUAAACUUUCAUGAAUUAAUUCAAACAUCAUACAACUUUUGCAUUUAUUUUUAGAUCUAAUAAUUCUUUUAAAAACAGAGAUUAAAUGAAUCAUAUAUUUUAUUUAGAUCUAAUCUAAAUAAUUUUAUGAUUUCAGAUUUAUUCAUAUUACAUAUGUUAACAUAAACAUUGCAUCACAUAAAUUCAAAUUUCAGAUCUAGUUAAUCAUGCAUAAUCAGCAAUUAAAUCAAUCAUAAAAAUACUUUAGAUCUAAUCUAAACAUGUUCAUGAUUCCAGAUUUAAUUGCAAUGAUUAAAACAUAAAAGAUUAAACAAAGAACCUGGCUCUGAUACCACUGAUAGUGAUCCUAUGAUGCUAGUAGUGAUAGCAUGCUCAAAUUUAAAAUUUUUCAAAAAUCAAUGGCUAUACCUGUUCAGGUUGCCUACGUACCCCUUCACAAGGGGGAUCAAGUCACACGUAGUUCUUUUAAUUUUGAAAUUCGCAGUGGAAAAUCGAAUUAAACAUUUUAAUUCUAGCAUGCAUAAGAAAUCAAAUUUCAAAAUAUCACUACAAGUAUUCAUGAUCAAUAUGCCGGAAUCGUUUAAACGAUUAUGCUAAAAUCAUUGCAUGAUUAAUUUCAGAUCUGAAAUGAGAUUAUUAAUUAAGUUCUAAACUUAAUUAAUCUAACACCCAACUAAUCUUCGAAUGCCCAUCGAAUAGGCUCUGAAGAUUACUCUGUGAAGAGCCCCAAAAGAGGUUUAACCCUCAGGGAUUGGAAUCUAUAAGUGAUACAACUUUGGAUCUAGAUUCAUAUCUUUAUGAAAUCUGAAAAUAAUGGAUCUGAUGCUUGAGCUUCGUAGCCACACACUCGUCUGGCCUCUACGAGUAAUCCACGCGAAGCUUUUGGAGUGAUCCAAUCCUGCGGAAGUGCUAGCUUGCGCAAGAUCGUCCUUUGUUGAAUUUUGAUCUUCCCGACGCUAUCAACUUUUGAUUCGUCUUCUUGGAAGAACUUGGAGGAAUGGUUAGUAGGGAUUGAAGAGGACUUAGAUCUGAUCUAAAGGCUCUUAUCAGGGAUCCCUAUCAGCUAUGGCGAGAUGGAAUUAGAGGAGAUGGAAUGGGCGAGAUGGCAGGCUGAAUUUUCAUAUUCCAACACAAGGAAUUAAUCCCUUUUUAAUGGCACGCCAUCUGAUCAUUUGAAUUCGAAAUUCAAAUGGAAAGCUGGUAUAUUGUUGGCGCAUGAAGGGGUUGGUUGUAACAAGAUAGAUCUUAUCUUGUUUGAAUUCAAAAUUCAAACACUAGAUGGGUCAUAAGGGUGAGAUAAUUUGAAAUGGAUGGUGCUGAUUUGAUUUCAUUCAAAUUUAAUUCGAAAUUCCAUUGAUAAUCAUCUAGCCAUUCUCCCACAUCUCCCACGAUCCAAAUCCCAUCACUUUUCAUUGAAAUUCCACAUCCGGAUCGAAUCCCUUGAAUUCAGCCCAUUCACGAGUUCCAGGAUUUUCAGAAGGAGUCGACCUUCCCGAGCUCGAGUCGACUCCAAGUCGCCUCACGUCGACUCCAAAGUCGACCCGAGCCGACCCCUGCUGAGACGACAGAGAACUUCCCUGAUACGCCCACCUAGUCGACCCCUUCAUAGCUCGAGUCGACCCCAAGAAAACUCGAGUCGACCCCACCUAGGAAAAAUAGAAGUCGUCCUCUGGAUUCUCUGAGUCGACCCCACCCAAGCUUGAUUCGACCCCAGCCCAUCUCGAGUCGACCCCAAGAAAACUCGAGUCGACCCCACCUGGGAAAACAGAGGAGUCGUUCUCUGAACUCUCUGAGAGAGUCGACCCCAGCCAAGCUUGAGUCGAUCCCAGCUCGAGUCGACCCCUCUUUACUUCGAGUCGACCCCAAUCAGGUCAAAACCCUGAUUGAACCCAAAAUUGAAUCCAAUUCAAUUUGGCUCAUCCUUAGUCCAUUUACUCAAUCAAAUUGAGUUUAUUAGUAAUCUAAUUACUAAUUAAUCCUCCAAUAAUUACUUUAAUUAUUUUAUAGGAUAAUUUGCUAAUCGGAUUGACCAAAUUAUCCCUGAAUGAUUCUCAAUCAUCCAUCAGCCAUCUUGAUCAAUCAGGAAACUUUUAUGCGUAUGACCUCAUAGGUUCGAACCUAAAUCGGUAGUACAGGAACGACUUCCUGUACUAAUCGAUGUGACCAUCUAGCAAUGGUACCCGACGUCCGGAUAGGCCGAAUAUAUGCGAAGCAAAUAUUUUGAAAUUCUGGACUAUGGUUACUGUAUAAUUCAUCCCGUUGACUCCUAAUGCUAGGAUGACCUCAGAGUUCUGUCAACUCUCUAAUCAGUACAUCCACUAUGUGAUCAACUUUAGAAAUCCUGUGACUCAUCACAAGGAUUACCCUGGCCAAGGAUCAACUUCACAGCAUAUCAUUUGAUCGCGAACAGGUUUAAGGACUUGAAGAUAAAUCCUUCUUUAUCAUGAAAUAAGUCCUAAGGACUUCAUCAUAUAAGAGUUCAUUUGAAGAUGAAAUGAUGAAUAAUGCCAAAUAACACUUUAUUAAUUUGUCAAUUCAUUUACAAAAUUCAAUCAUCAACAUACUGACGAUUGACACUUAGGAUACAAUUCCCAACAUCCUUGUCACUAUGAUGAAGCAUAACCCUUCAACUUAAUGGCUACUAGUUUGACCUUCUUGUUGUCAGGUAGCUCUAGGUACUCAAUUACUCUUUCCACCUCGUUAAACCAGUCCAAGACUUUAUCUGGUUCUCUCCAGAAAAUCCUGGUGUAUCCACCUUUGCACGUGGACCUCUAUCAUUGUCAGCCCUCUAAUGAGCACGAGGCUGUCUUACUUGGGGUAGGAUCUCCAUUUCUUCUUCCGAUGAAUCAUCCAAAGGUUGUUGCUGCUGCUGAAAUCUUUCUACAGCAGGUUGACCUCUUCCAUUCGUCCGUUGAUAAACAUGAACUUGCUGUCCUCUUUGUUUCCCAAUAGCUGCAUUAGGAGGACCAAAGAUCCCUGCUUGUUCAAGCCUAGAACAUAGGUUAGCAAGGUGGUGUUGUAGGUUCUCCACAUCUCUGGUAGCCAUUGUUCUAUUAUGUGCUGCUUGAGGUGCUUCCAAAUCCUCUUGGUUCUGCUCCAAAUUGUUUCCACGCCCAACCAUGGAUCCGCAGUAAUCACAGAUCAAAAAUAGCAAGGUUCUGAUACCACUUAAAGUAAAUCAAAGUAAGAAAACUGAAUAGAUCACUUUAAAGAUACUCCAAAGUCCAAACACUGUUGGAGCCUGGAUUUCUUGAAGGGAAAUCAAGGGAAAAACCUUGUAAAAAAAGGAACUGAGUUCUGUCCAAAAAAGUUGUUGUAGAUUAAUUCCAUUGUAUUGCUUACGUCCUUUACAACUCCUUUAUAUAGACUCCUAAGCAAUCACCUUAAUAAUGAACCUACAUUGGAAAUAAAAAGUAUUUACUCUAGUCAGCCUAGAAGACACCAACAUUAAAUACAUUCAACUUAGAAGACUGGACACUACAUAUCUCAUAACUUUUGCAGAGAACAAGACUGAAUUACUAACUGAUUUUCCAACUUCCAAGAGCAUUAAUUUGACUCUAGACUUCUGUUGUAGAACUGAUUUAGACAGGUAACAGUGACACUAACCCAUGAUUUUUUUUUAUAUUCCCACACCAAUAUCUCCUAUGGCUAGCAUCGAGACCUUCGCAUUGGAUCCCAUCUUGAACUGAAUUCACCAUCCUCUAAGGACUUGCUCUGGAAUUCUUGCAAAGAAUUAUAGACAUGUAUCGUGAACCCAGAGUCCACAAUCCAAGAGUUGGAAGGUCCAGUUAAAUUAUUCACCUCAACUACCAUAUACACAUCACACAUACCAGGUGAUGCCUAUCAAGCUGCCAUCAUGACUGACAUUGGCCAUUUUGGGACCUGCAUCCUAGUGUUGUGCCGCUGAUAAGUGAGUCCAUGCUCCCAAGGUUGGAAUCCUGGACUACAUGUGAACCUCGGUCUCCUAACCGACUCCAAGCCAACUCUAGCAUCUUAUGAGCAUCUCUCAUGCUCUCAAAUUGGCCUUUAAUAGAUGAGCACAUCAGAAGAAUAAUCUUUCUAGCCUUAUAACUGACCCAAUGCCAUUGGAGGUAGGUAACAUUGGCAUUCUCAAAUGCUUUCUUAUCAGCUUGCUCUAGUGACUCUGCUGUAUCUAACAUCCUGGAGACACCCUCACUAGUGAUGAGGCUCCAUUUUUAUACCAUUUUUUAUAGUUGCUCGGAACAACCAAGCGAUCAAUAGUCAAAGUAAGCAUACAAUGCCCAUAAUUACUAGAAAGUAUGUAUCUAGCAACGUAAAAUUAAACAUGAAAGGUAAACAUCUCAUGAUCAUAGAAAUAAUAACUAAUUGAAUUAUAAAUUUUUAAUUAUUACAAAGAAAAUCAGGAUUUUCAAUUCAGCAGUACUGUUGUGCCAGAAUCUGGUAUAAUCCCUCAAUGCACCGAUUCAAUCAUAGAACAUACUGAGUUCUCCAUCCCAUGUUAUACCUGCAUGUGUGUGCACUGCAAGCAAGGGCUAAGUUGAUGGAAUAGAUACAACUAUCCUUCCAUCCUUCGGUGAAUACUAAUAUUAUGAAUACCAUCAUCAACACCAACAUUCCUGAAAUAGGAUACUCAACUUCUUGUCUCGGUUCUUAUGGAAUAUAACAUCUGAUGUUGUGGGGUCCCUGUUGUACACAUUAGUUAAGUACCAUCCACCAUCUCUAUUAGAAGUCAAAAUCUUAUGGUGAGCUCUACAUGGACAUGUACUCCUAUUCAAUAUCACCGUUUCCUGUACAUGCUCAAUUACAAGCAUACUGAUAAAAAUGGAGGUUGGCCUCUGCAUGAGCAUGCAGUUACCCCAUAUACUAGCACCUCAUAGGAUGCACUGUGGACAACUAUGGUGGCUUAACUAUAUAAGGCCACAUAAUAUUUAGGUUUUGUUUGAGGAAAUAGCAGGCUUCGACCUUCUUGAUGACUGGUAUCGAGAGAGAGAUUAUAUAUCAUACGUUUUUGAAAUAUACACAUCUAAAUUAUAUUAAUAAGCAUGCAAUGCAAGAGGUCUUAUAUAUUAAUAAUCACAUCAUUCCUAGGGUUCCUUAUUCCAAGAGGAACUCGGUUGAUAUUCGAGUCGAGUCUAGUUGAGAUCUCGAGUAUUGCUUUUUUAUGAUCGAGUUGAGUUCGAGCUUGGAUAUUAAGGCUCGAUCGACUUUGAGCUGAGUUUUGAGCUUGAGUAUUUUGAACCGAGUCGAGCUCAAGCCUCUGGCUACUCAACAUUGCUUAGUUACAUCCCUACUGAGAAUUACUAUCCUCAACCAUUGCAAUCCACAUGCCUAUCUUCCAGAGUUUUGCUUAGUCUGAAUUUCCAGCAACCUCAAGCUAAGUGGAUGCUCUAAUAAAACAACUUGUCUUAUAAGUCUUUUUCUCUCUUUUUCUUUUUCUUGAAGAAGGAAAACCCUAUCCCUACAUAUGCCUCUUUCUUUGGAUGGCAUGUGAUGAUGUCGCCUUAUGAUUGGAUGCUAGAAACCCUAGGGUGCCUCCUCUUUCAUAGAGGGGAGGUGCCAUGGUUUCGUAGUGUGGCACCCUAGAGUCUUGGACUAUGUUGAGAGAAGACAAGGAAGAGGAGAAGUUGAUCUUGCUUGUGCUGCUGCCUAGAGCCCUGAUAUAAUACUAGGAGAGGAUAGGGUUGUCAGCCCUCAUUGGGACCACCCCUUCUAGAUUAUGUGCAUUCCUAAGAGAAUGUGCAUUCCUAAGAGAAUGUGCCAUCCAGUUGGCACAAAAGGUGGGGGUAGUGGCCACCAUCCUUAGUUCAUCCCUAGGGUUGACCCUGGUCUGGUCUUGCUAGAUCCAACCUAAUCAAAUCCCUAUUCCUAAGCUAUUUUUAUAUCACAAUCUCUUCAACAAUCAAAUCUGGAUCUUACUUUAUUCGAUCUAUGAGAGAUUAUCAACUAGAAUUGUAUUCCAAUUGACUUGGAGAUAGAUGGCACAUGAUAGAUGCAUUUCUGAUACAGGUCACUUUGGUUCUCGCUCACCAAUAACCUACCUCUUCAGGUUUGCUUUAGUCAAACAUUAGCAACAUGGUCUAGCAUGAGGAUAUGGUGCUCAUAUCGUAUUACUGAACCUUGGUGAGUAGGAUGAAACCAAUUCAUCUCCCUAUUCCUCCACAAGCUAUAUCCUGCAAUUCAAUCCACCUAUCAUUCCAUUGUCCUUGUACGACCAUUGAGUACUAGUGUACUACACUAUCAAACUUUUGGUCAUACGAUAUCAUGGUUUUUAGAAUCCUAGAUCAUGUCAGACAUCUUUUUAUGAAAAUUGUUCAUAUGAUACCCUGAAAAUAAUUAUUAUUAAUCAUAGUAAUUUUGUAAAAACAAGUAUUUCUAAAAAUCUUUUAAGUUAUUAACUGGAACUUAGGUCUUAUAUGGCUGACCAUCUAGACAAUAUACCAUUAUGAUGGUUUCCAUAUUGGACAACCUCACUCAUAUCUAAACUAAGUAAACCAUGAUAGUCUAGGAUGUCCUUAUCAAUGCACGGAUCUGAUUGCAAAUUUAUCGACCUCCAUAAUAUGGUUAGGUGUUAUGUCAUAUAGGUAAAGAGACCACUUGCAAGCUGUGCACCUAGUUCGCACCUUUAGCUCCUAUAAUGCUUCAGGAGGUGUAUCACUAGUGUUGUGUCACACCCUAGAUCUAACUCAAGUUGAGGAACGUGACAAUCUGCUGCAUACAUGUAAUAUAGGGGUCCCACGAGCAUGCAAGGAGACAACCUAUUGAUAGUCCACUAUAACAGGCAGGAUAAUAAUCAAAAUUUCCAAUUCUUAUGAAAUUUUCAUGACUCAGUAAUUCAAAUUCCAAAGCAUAUUCAGUUUUCAUAUUCAAAUAACUUAACAUAAUUCACAUAUUUCUACAUAUAACAACAUUCGAGAGGGUUCUAACAAAAUUGUAAAGGUUGGUCUGAUGUGGCCAAAUAGAACAUCACUUUAGUCUCACAAAUCCAACCUCUACCCCUCACUUUUAAGCCUCGGGCUCUGUAAAAACAUAGAAAUCAAAAGAAUCAGCUAAUAGCCCAAUAACUAGAACAUAACCAAAGGGGUCAAGCAAGUGUAACAAAUAUUAGUGCUUGAUACAAAAUAAUUUAUUUAGCAAUGUAAUGUCUUGCGAUCAAAGUCAUAAUAUAACUUCGAUAUGUUGCAAUAUAUAUUAUACUUAUACAUAUAUAUAUAUAUAAUUUGCAAACCGAUUAUUUACAUAUGAUCCAAUAAGAAAUUUUAGAAAACAAUAUUAAAAGUCAAAGUUACUAUACCCAAGUUUCCAUGAAUAUCUUAUAAUCAUACAUUUACAAAAGUAUUUUAUCAACUCAUCAAUCUAUAUAACUACGACCAGAAAUAAUCUGUGACAGGGCCCAAAGUACUGCACCUAAACCCUGUAGAGUAGGUCCAAAGUACCACACCUAACCCUUGUGGAGUAGGUCCAAAGUACUGCAUUUAACCCCUGUGGAGUAGAUUCAAAGUAAUCAAAUUUCAGAACAAUCAAUCCCAAAUGCUAAUGUAUAACCCCUGUUUGGCAGGGUUCCAAACAUAGUCAGAUUGAAAGUUCGGUACUUAUACCCAAAUCCAAUUUAUGCAAUAAAUAUUUUUGCAUAUGUUUUUGCAAUAUACAAAUUCGGCUCAACAUGUAAAAAUCCCAAUGAUGGAUAAUUACCAAAAUUUCAAUAAUAAAUAUGCAAACAUGGUUUUCCAAAUCAAUACAUUUACAUAUAUCAAUGUACAGAUUCCAAAGGCUUAUGCUGAAGUUUUCAAACUUCAAUUAACUGGAAUAAUUCUAACAAAACUCGUGAUUUUCAAAUUACAUGGAUAUAAUGGAUAUUCAAAGGCUAUUUAAUACAAUAUAUUCAUGCUUGAUCCAAUUUUUAAAAGUACACAAAACAAAUAGUGCAAUUUUGAGUGUAUUUGGCAAUAAUUGAAUCAAAGUAUAUUUCCAAAACUAUAUAUAUAUAUAUUAUUUAAAAUUUGAUUUGAUUAGGUGGAGGUUACUUACCUCGCAGACGUCACAACCAUCUAGUUUAACCAGCUCACAGAGAUCCUUCAAAACUUAAUCAUCCCAAAUCAAACAUUUAUCAAAUUAGGCCUACAUCAAUAUUUUAAAAUAAUUUAUAAAAGUCUCUAAAAUUCCUAAAAUUUCCAAUUCUGAUAUAACAUUAUUACGAUAGGGAAACGAGCACUCACUUUCCCUAUUCGUUCACAAGGAAAGAAAGAGAGAAUGUGGCACAGUGGAGACCCUCUGGAGCUAGCUUAGAGAGAGGGAGCGGGAAAGAUUGGGAGAAAGAGAAUGAGUGAGGGACGGUGGGGAAAACCCUUCCCUUCCUCUUCCUUGCUUUCUAGUUCUACAAGGAGAAAGCAAGAGAGGCCAGAAGAAAUGGAAGAAAGAUAAAAGGAGAGGAAAAGGAAGAGGAGGAAGAAGCAGCAGCAGAAGAAGAGAGAGAGAGCGCAUGCAUGGGGAAGGAAAAGAGAGAGUGAGAGAGGCUCGAGAGCCUGGUAUCAUGUGUGGAAGGGAGGGCAUGGGAGUGUGUUUGUGUGGGGAAUAAAAGAGUGUGAGAGCAAAAGAGAGUGAGCGAGAGCGGGAGGAACAGAAAUGAGCGAAGGAGAGAGAGGGAACUCUCGGGCAUGUGUGAGAAGAAUAGUGCCCUCCUCUCCUUUUCUCACCCGUUGGACUGCCUAAGACUGUGUCCACUCUGGGAUGUGCCACAGAUCCGCCUAUGGCGGUGCCCGCACAUGGUGCGGCCUGGGCACUGGUCUUGGUGCAUCUAGGCCAUGGGCCUAGGUAUUACAUGUUGACUAUUCAAUGUGUCUCAUCUUGGUGAAGGAGGAACACCGUGAAGUUACUAUCCACCUCAGUAGCCUUAUUAGCUGCGAUGCCUAGCCUCACCCAAAGCUGUGAACACAUUUUGAGUAUGUAAGUAUAUCCAAUCUUCUCUAUGAAAAACACAUCCCCACUUGGAUGAGCCUUCUGGAGCACUCGCGGAAAACUUUUUGACUUUAUGGCUGAUGAGACACAUACACCAUACUAUUUGUGUGAUCAUAAAAGAUAAAAAAUCCAUGUAUUAAUCCACACGAUACUUACAAUUUUCUUGCAAAUAGCUUUUAGGGAAUACGGUACUUUAAGUCUCUAACAUUACCACCAUGGUGGCAGCUGGUGAUGCGCAUGAAGUUAGGGUGGAGAUGGCAGAUAGUAGUGUCAAUAAAAUUGACGGUGUUUUGGGUUUGAUGAUCUUCACGUAGAAUGUAAAAUUGGAUCUUGUAAAGGAAUUACUGUCAGAAUUUCAUAAUAUUAAGUUGAUAGCAUAGAUAUUCACUUAAUCUUGACUGACUUAGUAGACAAUAGAAUGCUGCACAAAUUUACUUUUCAUGUAGAACUUUAAGAUGAUAGUUUUAUACUAAUUUCCAUCUUGUAAAAAUUUGCUUGAAUUAUUUCUCGUAGAAAGUAAGCGGUCAAAUUUUAUGGAAAAAAGGUAAGCAGUCAAAUUUUAUGGCCAAAAUCAUACUGCAAGAGAAGCAUGAAAGAAAUGCACAGGCUAAUUGCUAUUGUUUUAAUGCUCGUGCGUGGUUUGAAGUUUUGCACAAAUCUCCAAACCCAAACCAUAACAAAGGUCAUUUGCAAAGUUCUGGCCAAAGCUAACUUAUAGGGACACAAUAAUUCUAUAUAUGAGCUAUUUAUGCUAUUUUUUUCCAUUUCAUUAUUCGUUAUAUUCAUAGAAAUUUCAGUAUAAUAAACUUUAGUUUUUAUGAGCUUGAGAAGAUUUAGGAGUAUACCAUUAUUAGAUUCCAAAGAGAUCUUGAUAAAUGUAAUUAUUUUGCUUUUCUUUCCAAUUCUCAUAGAUAUUCAAAUUGUUUUAUGUUACAUUGCGAUCAGAUGGUGAAAUGAUGCACAAAACAUUAGUUUUAUACAGUUAAACUUAGAUAUAGUUUUUCACAUUGUUUCAGUAAAGCACCACAUAUAGUGCAUUCAAAGGUCCCCAAACAAUAUAAUAUACUGCAAAUUGAUGCCUAACUUGUUCUCGUCAACUAUUUAAUUUUGAUUUGUUUAUUGUUUCCUCCUAGUUUUAAUGGGAACUUUUGAAGCUUUUGUGAAUUCUCAACUGAACUGUGAGAAACUGAACAAAACCAUAAGGAAUACUACAAGGAUCAAGGGUUGGCCGAGCCAGCAUUCGCUUUCUGCCUUUUUUAACCGAAAGAGCUCAACACUUCAGUAUGCAUUUUCCUUGGUUCCUGCUUAACCGGCUUGGCAUCGGACCGUACAACCAAGCGGUGCUACUCCACCAAGAAUCGGCAUUCAAAAAAUUACCAAACACUAGAACUUAUUUGGUUCGCUUGGAACCAAAACCAAGUUUUUAAAUUUUUGGCUUAUAAUGCCAUGAUAAUUGGCCAUUUUAGGGUGAGUUGAAUGAGUUGUUGCUUUUGGAACAAAGUGGUAGAUCAUGUUCAUGGAAAAAGUAGUAAUGCAAGGGAAGCAUGCGCCAUAGAAAUACACUAAAUUGCCUGAAGAUACCACGUAUGCAAAUACUAUUUUUGACCAGAUGAUGUCAGCUGAAGUUGGAAUUUGAGGUCUACAUCUACAUGAAGGAUUGAGUAGGUUGAGGAAAGCAAGAUAAGUGAAAUAAAUGCAAGAUCAUUCUAUUUUCAAUUAAUCAGCAAUCAAAAUCAUGUACACGUGCACAGGGCGACAAGAUGGAAACUUGUUUAAGAGAAAUAAGAAUAAGGUGAUGACAAAGAGUUUCCAUGAUCCACACUAAAUUGACGCAUUUGAUGCAUCCUCUAACAAUGGAACUUCUUGAUUUUUCCUGUUUUUCCCUUCUUUCUCUAUCUCUUACUUUUUUCAGAGAUGAGGCCUAGCUCUCGGGUUUGUUAGACACAUAUUUAUAAGAGAGGCCAGCCUCCUAUUCCUAUAGCAAGAGUGUUAGGGAUUCUGUGAUGUAGGGGCGCAGCAGAAGCGCGAGAUUUUAUAAAUUUUUCAUAAUGAAAUCCCGUAACAUCAGACACUAAAACCAAGAUCACCUUAAUGGUAACAAUUAAACUUAUAAAAUAAAUGUAGGAAUAGAAGAAUACCUGUAACCCUAAUUCCAAUAUUUAGAAUUUUUAAUAGACGCUCAAGUGUUCACCCUCCAACGUUGAUCCACACGGAAACUUGCUUUAAGAUUUUAACUCCAAAAGAACUUAAUUCUUGAUGCUGAAUUCUUUCAAAGAAUUCAAUUGGCUUCUAGGCAAAAUAAUACUUCUCAAGUGCUUUGCCUUUCUCCCUUUUCCUUUGGCUUCUUCUUUCUAAUUGUCUUUUUCUUUCCUAAUUCUCCUUCUAAGCCUUUUGUCCUAAAGAAGACUUUUUGUCUUAAUUUAGAACAACCUUGGAGAGAGUUGUAAGAAAGAAGGGAUUGGAUUGGUUAUUGGAAACCCGGGAAUGCCAACUAUUUAUAGUUGGCGAGGGCGUGCUCUUGGCGUGAGGAUGCAUCACCAAAAGAUGCAUCCUUACACGCUUCAUGAUGGAAGAGGCGCCUCAUCAAGAGGCGCCAUCCAAUUAUUAAGCAAGAGGUGCCUCAUCAAGAGGCGCCAAUCCCUACAUGCCGCACAUGCCCCAUAUGCCCCUCAUGCCUAAAAAAUAGGGAAGAGGUUAAACUCAAGAGGCGUCAUCUUUAUCCCUUCAUUCAAUGGCUGAUGGUGAUCCAAAAGCCACCAAAGAUGGCACCUCAUUCAUCUUGCGCGUGAGGAUAAGAAGAGGAAGUUAAAUGGAUAAGAGUCCUUUAACUAAAUGGAUUCUUCAUCCUAAUCCAAUCCAAUUGGGUUCAAACCAAGCCAAUUAGGUGACAACUCUUGGUUAACCCAAACUAGGAUAUGGUCUAACCAAAAAGCUAAUUUAAUUAGAUCAAUCCAAAUGAAGAAUCAAAUUCGAAUCCUAUUCGAAUUAGGAGUUAGAGUUUGCAACACUACGUGCUAGCAUGUUCAUUCUGCAAACAUGAUUUAAUCUAAUUAGAUCCUUGAUUAGUUUUCUUGUGUGUGACCUAUUGGGUUCCACAUCUAGCCAGCAGUAGGUCUAGGUGCAAGUUGACCUGAUUUGAUUAGAACUCUUCUAAUCGAUUUAGGUCCAAAUUGUGCAAACCUGAGCUUAAUAAUUAGAACCCUUUCUAAUUGGUGAUCGAAUUAAAUUUUUUAAUUCGAUCAAACCUACAAGACAAGAUUGAAUCCGGAAGAUCUAGCAACGUAUCAUGUCUAUCCGGAAGAUAUGAAAUUUGGUAGAAAUACCAAAUAUACCCUUCAGUGGCAAGUUACCGUACAAUUUAAUCCUUCAAUCAAGCUACAUCCCGAAUAUGUAUAUGAGUAUGGAUCUAUGUCAAACUCAAUUACAUAUUCAUGUGUCUCUCAAUCUUCUAAUGAUAAUUCGAAUAAUGAAAUAUUAGAAACUCUUUCUAAUUUUCAUUCUACUUUGAUCAAAGACUCCCUGAAUUAUCAUGCGAUUAGAGUAAGUAGGAUGCGAUCUUCUCUUACUAGAAGUGAUUGAUUUCUUAUUGACCUACUCAAUUCACCAUAUCCAGAAGAUCCCGUACACGACUUUAGUCAUGAAUGAGUAUGAACCAAAAUAUGGAUUCGUGUGCACAAGAUACCAUGGUGGUCUCAGGUCAAAGGAUCAAUUGCACAACUCCCACUAAGAGAAUCAUCUUUUGACAUGUAAGUAAGACUCCAUAAGAUAUUUUCUUAGCAGGUCAAUUCAGUGAACUCAUUUUUUAAUGAGCACCCAUAUCUUUGUAUUAGUGUCUCCACACAAGUGAUUGUGAGAUUAAUCAUCCUCUCUAUCGAGCAUACAAAAGAUGUGCCAGUCUUUCUGGUAACAUUGAUCCCUAACUCAAUGUAUCAACAACUGAAAAUAUUUUAGAUUAGGGUUUUAGGAUUUUAGGUCUCACUUGCAUGAUCUCAUCAUAGCCCUAAAACUAUUGCCCUAAUCUAUGGGGUCAAUUAUAAAUAUAAGAUGCAGCAUAUGAUGAAACAUAAUGCUAUUUCAUUUAUAAUAAAAUAUCAUGUACAUGAGCUAAAAAAUUAAAAGAAAUUCUAUCGUAAUACAGAUUAUGAUUGGCUUGUAGGGCAUUAUUCUUUCAAUCUCCCACUUGCACUAAAGCCAAUCUUUAAACCCAUACAAUCGAGGUUGCGAUCGAACUGCUGCUGAGGUAAAGCUUUAGUAAAUGGGUCUGCUAAGUUGUUCUUUGUAUCUACUCGUUCAAUGAUUAUAUCUUGUCUUUCGAUAAUCUCUCGAACGAGGUGGAAGUGUCUUAGAAUGUGCUUGAAUUUGUGAUGAGACCUUGGUUCCUUUGCUUAAGCAACAGCUCCAGUGUUAUCACAAUAAACUGCCACUGGAUUUGUAAUCUCAGAAACAACACUCAAUUCAGUGAUGAACUUCUUCAUCCGGACAACUUCCUUAGCAGCUUCACUUACAGCAAUGUAUUCUACCUCAGUAAUUGAGUCAGCUACAGUCUGCUACUUGGAACUCUUCCAACUCACUGCACCACCACACAGGGUAAAGAAAUAUCCUGAAAUGGACUUGCUAUUAUCUGGAUCUGACUGAAAACUAGAAUCAGAAUAGCCUUGUAGUUUUAACUCAAAUCCUCCAUACAUUAGAAAAACAUCUUUAUCCUUUUCAAGUACUUAAGAAUGUUUUUUACUGCUUUCCAAUGAUCCUCUCCUGGAUUAGCCUGAAAUCUGCUUGCUAUGCCCAAGGCAUAAGCAACAUCAGGCCUAGUACAUAGCAUAGCAUACAUUAUUCACCCUACUGCCGAAGCAUAGGGAAUAGAAUUCAUUCUAUUCCUUUCUUCAGGUGUCUUAGGAGACAUCUUCUUAGAGAGAUGUAUGCCAUGACCUAUGGGUAAGUAACCUCUUUUACUCCCAUCCAUGCUGAACCUUUUCAGCACAAGAUCUAUGUACCUAGACUGGGACAAACUUAGCAUCCUUUUAGAUCUAUCCCUAUGGAUCUUUAUUCCAAGUAUAUAGGAUGCUUCACCUAAGUCUUUCAUGGAAAACCUUUUUGAUAGCUAAGUCUUGACCGAUUGUAACAUUGGAAUAUCAUUUCCAAUGAUAAGUAUGUCAUCUACAUACAAAAUUAAGAAGACAAUAGCACUCCCACUUGUUUUCUUAUACACACAAGGUUCAUCCACAUUUUUGAUAAAGCCAAACUCUUUGACUGUUACAUCAAAAUGGAUGUUCCAACUUCUCGAUGCUUGCUUUAAUCAAUAAAUGGAUUUCUUAAGCUUGCAUACUUGAUUUGUUCUCCCAUUUGAGACAAAUCCUUCUGGCUGAGUCAUGUAAACUUCUUCCUCAAGAUGACCAUUAAGGAAGGCAGUUUUAACAUUCAUUUGCCAGAUUUCAUAAUCAUAGUAUGCAGCUAUUGCAAGCAAAAUCCGAAUAGAUUUAAGCAUAGCAACUGGUGAAAAAGUUUCAUCAUAGUCAAUUCCUUACCUUUGUCUGAAACCUUUUGCGAUCAAUUUGGCCUUGUAAGUUUCUACUUGGCCAUCUGCUCUAAUCUUUUUCUUAUAGACCCACUUGCAAUCUAUAGGGGGUUACACCCCCAGGUGCAUCAACCAAAGUCCAUACUUGGUUGGUAUACAUUGAGUCUAUUUCGGAUUUCAUGGCCUCUAGCCAUUUGUCAGAGUCCCUACUCAUGACAGCUUCCGAAUAAGUUAGAGGAUCAUCGUUCUCAACGAUGUGGGCUUCAUCAUUUUUGCACUCUUUCUGAUCUUCGGAGAGGAGAUGUGUUGUGGUUGUACCUCAUCUAUGGGUACAUGUAUUCGAGGAAUAUCUUGUGUCUCUAUUUGUAGGUCUUGAACUUCUUCAAGUUCAAUUCUCCUGUCACUGCCCCUUUCUAGGAUACUCUUUUUCCAAGAAAGUGGCAUGUCUACCAACAAAGACCUUUUGUUCAGUAAGUUGAUAGAAGAGGUAUCCUAUAUUCUCUUUAGGAUAUCCUGCAAAUAAACACUUAUCUGAUUUAGCACUUAGCUUAUGUAGAUACAGAUUUAGAAGGUACCCUGUUCAAUAUAUACGCAGCAAUUUCUAGGGCAAAUCUCUAGAAGAAAAUAGAAAGGUCUGUAAAGCACAUCAUGGAUCGUACCAUAUCUAGUAGAGUACGAUUUCUCCUUUCUACUACACCAUUUAACUGUGGUGUAUACGGAGGGGUCCAUUUAGAGAGAAUACCCUUUUCUUUAAGAUCUAAGAACUCACUAGAAAGGUAUUCACCUCCUCGAUCUGAUCGAAGGAUUUUAAUACUCUUUUCAGUUUGUUUUUCAACCAUACUUUGAUACUCUUUAAACUUAUCAAAGGCUUCGGAUUUAUAUUUCAUAAAAUACACAUAUUCCAAUCUUGACAAAUCAUCAAUGAAUGUGAUGAAAUAAGAGUAUCCACAUCUAGCUUGAGUUGUCAUAGGACGACAUACAUCUGUAUGCACAAGUCCUAAUAACUUACUUGCCCUUUCUUCAUGUCCAGUGAAUGGAGACUUAGUCAUUUUUUUCAUAAGACAAGAUUCACAAGUUUCUAAUAAUUCAUAAUCAUAAGGAUCAAAGAAUUCUUCUUUGUAUAACUUGUUUAUUCUUGACUCACUUAUGUGACCAAGUCGGCAAUGCCAUAGGAAGGUGUUAUUCACCUCUUUUCUCUUUCAUUUUUUGCUUUCAUCAAUACGAAAGAUAUUGUCAUUAACAGACAGAACUAGAAGACCAUUUUUCAUAAUGCCAUUGCAAUAAUGCUCAUUAGAAAAAGAAAUAGAGCAACCAUUGCCCUUUCCAUUAAUUUCAAAUCUUUGUUUUAACAAUAAAGUAAUGAAAAUUACAUUUCUGAUAAUUUUAGGCAUUUAAUAACAAUCUUCUAACUCUAAGAGCUUGCCCGAAGGCAACUUCAAAAAGUAGGUUCCAACGGCUUCAGCCUAGAUGGACUCUCCUCCAGUGCCAUAAAGCUCGAAGUCAUCCUUCUUCAAACUUCUAAUUCUCUGUAGUCCUUGCAAUGACUUACUGAUAUGAGAACCACAGCCAGUAUCCAAUACCCAUGAAUUUAAAUUUGAAGAACUUAAUGACAAAUUGGCAUGUACCAUAUACAUACCUUUUGAUGUAACUCUUGCAUCAGGCUUUACAGUUGCAAGAAAAAUCUUGCAAUUUCUUUUCUAGUGGCCUUCCUUGCUGCAAUGGAAACAGGUACUUGAUCCGGAGACUUUCUUUCCUUUCUUCCUCUUCAUUCUGCUACUUUUAGGUUUCAAUCUUUUCUAAGAACCCUUAAUGCCUGUUUUCUUCUUAGACAUUCCGUCUACAAGGAGUGAACUCUUUUCCUUCUUGAUAUGGCUCUCAGCUGUCUUAAGCAUAUUUAACAGCUUAGGCAAAGAGGUAUUCAGUUUGUUCAUGUGAUAAUUCACAAUAAACUGAGAGAAGGAUUUUGGGAGUGACUGUAGGAUUAAAUCCUGACUUAGCUCACCAUCCAUCACAAAACCCAAUUGACUCAAUCUAGUGAUUAAGUCAAUUACCAUGAGAACAUGGUCUUGUACGGAUGUCCCUUCACUCAUUCUUGCACGGAAUAAUUGCUUAGAUAUCUCAUAUCAAGCAGUUCUACUCUGUUCUCCAUACAGCUAUUUUAAAUUGAGAAGUAUAGAGUGAGUAUCCAUGCUAUCAUGCUGCCUUUGCAAGUCAUUGCUUAUGGAGGCCAAUAUGAUAUAUUUAACAGUUCAACUGUCAUUCUGCCACAUCUUGUAUGUGGCUACCUCUUCUUCAGUAGCAUCUUCCCCUACCGACCUAAGGUCAGGGAUUUCGAGGAUAUAAGAAAGUUUCUUCUUAGUGAGAACGAUCCUUAAAUUUCUCAACCAGUCCACAUAGUUAGAACCGGUCAACUUGUUGGCAUCCAAGAUGCCUCUCAGUGAUAGUGAAGAAGCUAUUAAUGCAAAAUUAUUCUACAUAAGCAAAGAACAAAACUAACAUAAGCAGACCAUUCAUGAUGGCAUAUAUACAAUUAGAUAAGGAUUUUAUCUAAUUGUUACUUCCACCAUUUUAUCGAAUAUCAUAGCCCUCUUCUAUGAUAAACGAGAAACCCUAAUUGGUUUUUCUUAGUGGGGUUGAGAUCCUAAUUCCUCAUAGAGGCCUUGCGGUUUCACAACAAACCGUUAUGAGUUCAGAGGUAGGAAACUCUUUCCAAUUGUAUCUCAUGCAAUUCUUAAUAUUAUCCUGUCCUCUAAAACACUUAUAGCCUUGUGGUUGCACAACAAACUAUAAUGUUUAAGUUAAGUCAGACUCUUUAUUUUCAUACAGUCAUAUUUGAAUAAUAUUGCCCUUGUGGUUGCACAACAAAAUAACAUAUCAAAACAUGAUGCAAGCAUCUCUAUGCACCAAGACAAUAUGACAUUAAUCUCCAUAGCAAGCCUUGUGGUUUCACAAUAAACCUGCUUGGAUUUUUGACAAAAUACUGUCUUGGCAUGAAGGAAGGCUCAGAGUAGUGUUUUUCAACAUUAAGCUUUCCAUAAAAGAUAAUUAACUAAAUUGGCCAGGUAAGUAGGUGGGAGGCUUCCCGUGCUUUCGCAACGGUCCUAAUUAAGUAACCACCUUUGACACUUUUCUGGACGCCAAUUGAUCAAUCAAUCCAGAAUGGGUCAGCUUAAAGUAUCUUUCACUACGACUUAAUAUAAUUUUUAUGAGGGCUUUCCGGGCUUUUGUACAUUUUAUAAAUGUAACAUAUAUUGCAUUUCUAAUGUAAUAAGCAAACAUAGCGGGGAAUAUGAACAUGCUUCAAUAUAUCUUAUAUGAAAAUUCAUAUGAAGACAUUUGAACAAUAUAACAUUGCUAUCUCAUAGCAAAUAUCAAAACUUAAGUGAUCAUCAAUCGCUAGCAUGAUCAUUUGAUUGAACUAAUAAAGGUCGACUCUAAUACCACUAUAAGGGAUUCUGUGAUGUAGGGGCGCAGCGGAAGCAUGGGAUUUCAUAAAUUUUUCAUAAUGAAAUUCCAUAACAUCAGACCCUAAAACCAAGAUCAUCUUAAUGGUAACAAUCAAACUUAUAAAAUAAAUGUAGGAAUAGAAGAAUACUUGUAACGCUAAUUCCAAUAUUCAGAAUUUUCACUAGGCGCCCAAGUGUUCACCCUCCAACGUUGAUCCACACGAGAACUUGCUUUAAGAUUCUAACUCCGAAAGAACUUGAUUCUUGAUGCUGAAUUCUUUCAAAAAAUUCAAUUGGCUUCUAGGCAAAAUAACACUUCUCAAGUGCUUUGUCUUUCUCCCUUUUCUCUUGGCUUCUUUCUCCUUCUUUCUAACUGUCUUUUUCUUUCCAAAUUCUCCUAAGCCUUUUGUCCUAAAGAAGACUUUUUGUCUUAAUUUAGAACAACCUUAGAGAGAGAUGUAAGAAAGAAGGGAUUGGAUUGGUUAUUGGAACCCCGGGAAUGCCAACUAUUUAUAGUUGGCGAGGGGGUGCUCUUGGCGUGAGGAUGCAUCACCAAAAGAUGCAUCCUUACACACUUCAUGAAGGAAGAGGCGCCUCAUCAACAGGCGCCAUCCAAUCAUUAGGCAAGAGGCACCUCAUCAAGAGGCGCCAAUCCCCACAUGCCGCACAUGCCCUACAUGCCCCUCAUGCCUAAAAAAUGGGGAAGAGGUUAAACUCAAGAGGCGUCAUCCUUAUCCCUUCAUCCAAUGGCUGAUGGUGAUCCAAAAGCCACAAAAGAUGGCGCCUCAUUCAUCUUGGGCGUGAGGAUAAGAAGAGGAAGUUAAAUGGAUAAGAGUCCUUUAACCAAAUGGACUCUUCAUCCUACUCCAAUCAUGGCGUCAUCAAAACUUAAUCCAAUUGGGUUCAAACUAAGCUAAUUAGGUGCCAACUCUUGGUUAACCCAAACUAGGAUAUGGUCUAACUGAAAAGCCAAUCUAAUUAGAUCAAUCCAAAUUAAGAAUCAAAUUCGAAUCCAAUUAGAAUUAGGAGUUAGAGUUUGCAACACGUGCUAGCAUGUUCAUUUUGCAAACAUGAUUUAAUCUAAUUAGAUCCUUGAUUAGUUUUCUUGUGUGUGACCCAUUGAGUUCCACAUCUAGCCAGCAGUAGGUCUAGGUGUAAGUUGACCUGAUUCGAUUAGAACUCUUCUAAUCGAUUUAGAUCCAAACUGUGCAAACCCGAGCUUAACAAUUAGAACCGUUUCUAAUUGGUGAUCGAAUUAAAUUCUUUAAUUCGAUCAAACCUACAAGAUAAGAUUGUCAUCUAGCAACGUAUCUUGUCUACCUAGAAGAUAUGAAAUUUGGUGGAAACACCAAAUAUACCCUUCAAUGGCAAGUUACCGUGCAAUUUAAUCCUUCAAUCACGCCGCAUCCCGAAUAUAUAUGAGUAUGGAUUUAUGUCAAACUCAAUUGCAUAUUCAUGUCUCUCUCAAUUUUCUAAUGAUAAUUCGAAUAAUAAAACAUUAGAAACUCUUUCUAAUUUUCAUUCUGCUUUGAUCAAAGACUCCCUGAAUUAUCAUGCGAUUAGAGUAAGUAGGAUGCGAUCUUCUCUUACUAGAAGUGAUUGAUUUCUUGUUGACCUACUCACAACCUUUGUACACAAUUCACCAUAUCCAGAAGACCCUGGACACGACUUUAGUCAUGAAUGAGUAUGAACCAAAACAUGGAUUCAUGUGCACAAGAUACCAUGGUGGUCUCAGGUCAAAGGAACAGUUGCACAACUCCUACUAAGAGAAUCAUUUUUUGACAUGUAAGUAAGACUCUAUAAGAUAUUCUCUUGGCAGGUCAAUUUAGUGAACUCAUUUUUCUAAUGAGCACCCACAUUCUUGUAUUAGUGUCUCCACACAAGUGAUUGUGAGAUCAAUCACCCUCUCUAUCGAGCAUACAAAAGAUGUGCCAGUCUUUCCGAUAACAUUGAUCUUCGACUCAAUGUAUCAACAACUGAAAAUAUUUUAGAUUAAGGUUUUAGGGUUGUAGGUCUCACUUGCAUGAUCUCAUCAUAGCCCUAAAACCAUUGCCCUAAUCUAUGAGGUCCAUCAUAAAUAUAAGAUGCAGCAUAUGAUGAAACAUAAUGUCAUUUCAUUUAUAAUAAAAUGUCAUGUACAUGAGUUGGAAAAUCAAAAGAAAUUCUAUCGCAAUACAGAUUGCGAUUGGCUUAUAGGGCAUUAUUCUUUCAAAGAGAUGAGUCCAUCUUGAAGGUUUAAUAAGAAAGAGAAGCAAAGCGAUGAAUGAGUGAGAGAGAGAGAGAAACUAGGUCAACUGAGGUUUCUGUACUGCCUUAUCCCAUUUUCCUCAUGGACAUGCUAUAAUAACAACAUAACCAAAGUGGAUCAACAAUAAUAUGAAGUUUAGACAAAGUGACAAUGCACAAUAAUCUUUCAUGCAUGAUAACAUGUUGCAAUCUGAUCCCUAGCUGAAUGAGCCAAGGCCCAUUUGUGUGUUAUGUAUCUGUAAUUUACAUAUCUCUGUGUGAAGUGGUUUCCUAGGAAGGAUUCACAAUUUUAAGCAGUCAAAGCAAAUCCAUAUAUCAUUGCAAUGUCUCUAGUUUGAUGUUUAUGACAACUAGCCAUUCUAACCCUUACUGAAUGUAGUACAUAAAGUUGCCAUAUGAUGUAAUGCCCAACCUACUCUUAAGAGUAGUUAUAUUGUCCAGAACGAGUCAAUCCUUCUAUUAAAAGCACAAAAUUUUCACUUCGAAUUUUUACAAGGAACACUUUUGGACUGCUUUCUCAACUCCAGUGUUAAUGUGUGAAACAUGCCUGAUACUUUAUAUGAAAAUUUUGGAGUAGAAAUAUCAACGGUACAUCCAUAAAGUGUCUAAAAUAUCAAAUGGCUGAUAGGACACAUUCCUAUUCCAUCAAUGUAAGUGAUAAAGGUCUCACCAGAAUUAUUAAGGGUCUUUCAACUUGCCAUGUAACCAGCAGCUGAAUACUCACUUUUAGCGCCACCUCUAAUCUAUCAGUUCAUGAACAGUUAUGUCAUAGCACAUAUUAAGAUACCAACAUGCCUUGUGGUUAAUCUAUUUACUCUUCAUCAUGUGUUGAUGGCCACAUUUUAUGUCAAUUAGGUGUUGCAGGUUGUGGACUCUUUUCAGUCAUAACCAGUAAUAGAUCCCCUUGCUGAUUCCUUGUCAUCUUUGUCAUUCCAUUGUCUGGGUUGUCUUCCAAUCACUCAGUUCAUGAUUUUGUGUGCAUAUUCAUCCGAAAUCCGUUUUGGCACUUUCCAUAUGUAUGAUGAGUCAGGGCUUAUUCUUCCCAAUCAGUGCCAGCUACAUGUGCAGCAAGUGCAAAUAUUUUCAUCAGUUGUUUCCUUGAAAGUUGUUUGAAUUUUCAUGCACUAAUUGGCAGGCCUUGGAGCUACCUCCAAAACAUAUAGUACUUCCACAUUAAAUAAAUGGUUGUAGAAAUAUGAAUAUCUCAUCUCUUGUUGUAUCUAAUAAAUUAUUUUAUUUCCUAAAAAAUUUUCUAUUUUUCGUUUUUGGUUUUAUUAUUAUCAUUCUUUGAAAUAUGUGCAUCAUAAUGGUAUAAUCUUAGCAAGGAGUCUUUUACUAAUGUUACUGUAGAGACCCAAAGAUGCGGCCCUCAUUUUCUGAGAUCAUGGCAGCCUUAAAGCCAUUGCAGAAACCUGUUUCUAGUUCCCAAGUUCUGAAGCAGCGAGUACUGGUAGCAGACACUAAAGAUAAAGGGGAAUUAUAGCGAGCACAGGAAGGAACAAAUGCUGAAGUGGCUGUCUGAAACCAUUCAGUGUUUUGAGGAUGCCAUCUUGAAUACUAUGCUGGAGUUCUUGUAACAAUUUCAUUGUAUUGUAUGAAAUAAUAUCUGUGGGAGUUCUGGAGCCGAGGAGAUCGGUUGCUAGUCAUGUACCCACCUUCAGAAUUGUAAAGUUACUUGAAUUGAUUGUUGUUUGGCUGAUAAUCAAGUUCCAGUUGCAUCAAUCUGUCACCAUUCAAUGAGAACAAGAAUCCUCCUUCACAAAGCAAGAUGAAGAAAUGAAGAAUGCAAUGAAAGGAUGAAACAAGCAGGAACAGAAGCAGCCAGCAUUUUGUUUAGUUCCAUAAAUUGCACAUCAUGGAUUUUAUGACUGGUUGCUUAAACUGUUUCACUUAUUAUUGUAAACUGAGAUGUCUAUACUACUCUCUGUAAAUCUGGAUUCUUUUUGGCUUUUUUUCGUUGUUUUUUGUUCUUUUUUUCUUCCUUUAACUAAAGGGUUGUGCACCCUAAAAGAGUUGUAAACUUUUUAGUAGUGUGCCAUUCUUUAAUCCAGUCUUGAGAUUUCUUGCAUCAUCUGGUAGUACAUUCAAAUAGUAACAGCCAUCAUCCAUCCUGUCAACAAUGAUAGAUGGAAAUCGAUGCAAGGUGACGGUGCAUCCAGUUGAGCGAAAGCUUGGGCUUGCAAGCUUCUGCUGUUUGUGAGUUUUUUUUAAAAAAAAAAUUAAAGAAAACUUUUGAAAUGAUAAUGUACUAGUUUUGUUCUAUUUAUUCAUGAAAUUAUAUUUUUCUUUAGUUUAAAAGUGAUAAAACUAUUUUAUUCUGUGUAUAUGAUUAUAUUUUAUUCAACACAACUGUUUCAGUUCUUGACUCUGCUGCGAAAUUUCAAUCCAGUUGUGCACCAAAAUUUUGGUCUGUUCAUGACGUGUCAGUUUGGAAGACCUCGGUCUCUAGUACUCCGUGCCUUAGUUGAUCCUGCAAUAGAAGUCUGCCGAGUUUCUUUCCCUUUAGUGCAGUUUCUUGGAAAAAAAAAUCAUUUAAGGACCUGCAAUAGCAAAGGUCAUAUUUUGAAGAAUUCUACUAGGAAAUAGGAUGAAAGGAUAGAAGGUUUGUUUUACUGCCAUGAUAUGUUCAAAAAUUUAAGCUGCGUUUGGAUGCAAAAUAGAUAACCAGGGGUAUAUAGAUUUUAGUUAAGUUUAUUCUCUGUUUGGUUGACAUUUCUGAGAUGAAAUGGUUUAGACCGCAAUAGGUUGCGAUCAUAACAUGUAAGUAGGUGGUCGUUUGAGGUGUGGGGUGGGGAUCUUACACACCAUUGUUGUUCGCUCCCUUGAGGACUGGUGCCAAACACGGAUCAUUAGAUAUCCAGGAGAGAGCUUGGUGUUUAAAUUUACUAUACUGUCCCUCA